Molecule: ribosomal RNA, 432 nt
Filed under: uncultured bacterium
Lineage: Bacteria
Description: partial 16S ribosomal RNA
Rfam family: Bacterial small subunit ribosomal RNA
Source: RNAcentral
AACGAACGCUGGCGGCAUGCCUAACACAUGCAAGUCGAACGAGACCUUCGGGUCUAGUGGCGCACGGGUGCGUAACGCGUGGGAACCUGCCCUUAGGUUCGGAAUAACUCCCCGAAAGGGGUGCUAAUACCGGAUAAUGUCUUCGGACCAAAGAUUUAUCGCCUUUGGAUGGGCCCGCGUUGGAUUAGCUAGUUGGUAGGGUAAAAGCCUACCAAGGCGACGAUCCAUAGCUGGUCUGAGAGGAUGAUCAGCCACACUGGGACUGAGACACGGCCCAGACUCCUACGGGAGGCAGCAGGGGGGAAUAUUGAACAAUGGGCGAAAGCCUGAUCCAGCAAUGCCGCGUGAGUGAUGAAGGACUUAGGGUUGUAAAGCUCUUUUACCCGGGAUGAUAAUGACAGUACCGGGAGAAUAAGCUCCGGCUAACUCCGU